CUUACCAAUCAUCUCUCAUGGUUGUGCUGUGUUAGAUCAAGCAGUAAGAAGGUCACGGUCAUAGGGGCAGUCUAUUUAGGACUGCCAACAAGAAGGCUAUAAUGAUGAUGAUGAUGACAACUUAUUUAUAACAAUUUAUACUGAGUAUUUACUACAGGUUAUUCUAUAUGUUAUUCACUUUCAGAGUAUUAUUUCUCAGAAUCUUCGCAAUAAC
RNAcentral lists this long non-coding RNA (214 nucleotides) under Homo sapiens (human). RNAcentral describes it as "non-protein coding lnc-OLR1-4:1". The record is from RNAcentral. Lineage: Eukaryota; Metazoa; Chordata; Mammalia; Primates; Hominidae.